CUUUUGUGUUUUUAGUAGAGAUGGAGUUUCACCAUGUUGGCCAGGCUGGUCUUGAACUCCUGACCUCAAGGGAUCCUCCUGCCUCAGCCUCCCAAAGUGGUGGGAUUACAGGCAUGGGCCACCGCACCCUGCCCAAUAUAUAUAUUUUUAAAUAGAGAUGGAGGUCUCACUAUGUUGCCCAGGCUAGUCUGGAACUCCUGGGCUCUCCUGUGCUGGCUUCCCAAAAUGCUGGGAUUACAGGUGUGAGCCACUGCACAUAGCCCCAAUAUUUUGUUAAAUAAGUGAAUAAAUAACACCUAAGUUUUGAAUCAUUGCUCACUGCUCUUUCGUGGUAGAGGAAAUUGAUGAGAAUUGUUUCAGUUCUUUGGCUUUUAUUGAUGAGUUCCAUAAAUUAGAUCUUGGUAAUUUGGGGCUGCAGUGGUUUUACAUCUCUGAAGGUUUGGGAGUACUUGUAUCACGACUAAAUUUCCAUACAAUGAGAAGAUUUUUGAAAAAUAGUGAGAUCUUGAGCCAGAUGAUUGUGCAUCCAUUUACAUCUUUAAUGUAGAUCCACCUCCAUCUACUUUAAACACACCACUUUGCUUACCACAUCAUGGAUUACCGUCUCACUCUUCUGUUUUGUCACCAUCGUUUCAGCUCCAAAGUCACAAAAACUAUGAAGGAACUUGUGAGAUUCCUGAAUCUAAAUAUAGCCCAUUAGGUGGUCCCAAACCCUUUGAGUGCCCAAGUAUUCAAAUUACAUCUAUCUCUCCUAACUGUCAUCAAGAAUUAGAUGCACAUGAAGAUGACCUACAGAUAAAUGACCCAGAACGGGAAUUUUUGGAAAGGCCUUCUAGAGAUCAUCUCUAUCUUCCUCUUGAGCCAUCCUACCGGGAGUCUUCUCUUAGUCCUAGUCCUGCCAGCAGCAUCUCUUCUAGGAGUUGGUUCUCUGAUGCAUCUUCUUGUGAAUCGCUUUCACAUAUUUAUGAUGAUGUGGACUCAGAGUUGAAUGAAGCUGCGGCCCGAUUUACCCUUGGAUCCCCUCUGACUUCUCCUGGUGGCUCUCCAGGGGGCUGCCCUGGAGAAGAAACUUGGCAUCAACAGUAUGGACUUGGACACUCAUUAUCACCCAGGCAAUCUCCUUGCCACUCUCCUAGAUCCAGUGUCACUGAUGAGAAUUGGCUGAGCCCCAGGCCAGCCUCAGGACCCUCAUCAAGGCCCACAUCCCCCUGUGGGAAACGGAGGCACUCCAGUGCUGAAGUUUGUUAUGCUGGGUCCCUUUCACCCCAUCACUCACCUGUUCCUUCUCCUGGUCACUCCCCCAGGGGAAGUGUGACAGAAGAUACGUGGCUCAAUGCUUCUGUCCAUGGUGGGUCAGGCCUUGGCCCUGCAGUUUUUCCAUUUCAGUACUGUGUAGAGACUGACAUCCCUCUCAAAACAAGGAAAACUUCUGAAGAUCAAGCUGCCAUACUACCAGGAAAAUUAGAGCUGUGUUCAGAUGACAAAGGGAGUUUAUCACCAGCCCGGGAGACUUCAAUAGAUGAUGGCCUUGGAUCUCAGUAUCCUUUAAAGAAAGAUUCAUGUGGUGAUCAGUUUCUUUCAGUUCCUUCACCCUUUACCUGGAGCAAACCAAAGCCUGGCCACACCCCUAUAUUUCGCACAUCUUCAUUACCUCCACUAGACUGGCCUUUACCAGCUCAUUUUGGACAAUGUGAACUGAAAAUAGAAGUGCAACCUAAAACUCAUCAUCGAGCCCAUUAUGAAACUGAAGGUAGCCGAGGGGCAGUAAAAGCAUCUACUGGGGGACAUCCUGUUGUGAAGCUCCUGGGCUAUAACGAAAAGCCAAUAAAUCUACAAAUGUUUAUUGGGACAGCAGAUGAUCGAUAUUUACGACCUCAUGCAUUUUACCAGGUGCAUCGAAUCACUGGGAAGACAGUCGCUACUGCAAGCCAAGAGAUAAUAAUUGCCAGUACAAAAGUUCUGGAAAUUCCACUUCUUCCUGAAAACAAUAUGUCAGCCAGUAUUGAUUGUGCAGGUAUUUUGAAACUCCGCAAUUCAGAUAUAGAACUUCGAAAAGGAGAAACUGAUAUUGGCAGAAAGAAUACUAGAGUACGACUUGUGUUUCGUGUACACAUCCCACAGCCCAGUGGAAAAGUCCUUUCUCUGCAGAUAGCCUCUAUACCCGUUGAGUGCUCCCAGCGGUCUGCUCAAGAACUUCCUCAUAUUGAGAAGUACAGUAUCAACAGUUGUUCUGUAAAUGGAGGUCAUGAAAUGAUUGUGACUGGAUCUAAUUUUCUUCCAGAAUCCAAAAUCAUUUUUCUUGAAAAAGGACAAGAUGGACGACCUCAGUGGGAAGUAGAAGGGAAGAUAAUCAGGGAAAAAUGUCAAGGGGCUCACAUUGUCCUUGAAGUUCCUCCAUAUCAUAACCCAGCAGUUACAGCUGCAGUGCAGGUGCACUUUUAUCUUUGCAAUGGCAAGAGGAAAAAAAGCCAGUCUCAACGUUUUACUUAUACACCAGUUUUGAUGAAGCAUGAACACAGAGAAGAGACUGAUUUGUCUUCAGUUCCAUCUUUGCCUGUGCCUCAUCCUGCUCAGACCCAGAGGCCUUCCUCUGAUUCAGGGUGUUCACAUGACAGUGUACUGUCAGGACAGAGAAGUUUGAUUUGUUCCAUCCCACAAACAUAUGCAUCCAUGGUGACCUCAUCCCAUCUGCCACAGUUGCAGUGUAGAGAUGAGAGUGUUAGUAAAGAACAGCAUAUGAUUCCUUCUCCAAUUGUACACCAGCCUUUUCAAGUCACACCAACACCUCCUGUGGGGUCUUCCUAUCAGCCUAUGCAAAGUAAUGUUGUGUACAAUGGACCAACUUGUCUUCCUAUUAAUGCUGCCUCUAGUCAAGAAUUUGAUUCAGUUUUGUUUCAGCAGGAUGCAACUCUUUCUGGUUUAGUGAAUCUUGGCUGUCAACCACUGUCAUCCAUACCAUUUCAUUCUUCAAAUUCAGGCUCAACAGGACAUCUCUUAGCCCAUACACCUCAUUCUGUGCAUACCCUGCCUCAUCUGCAAUCAAUGGGAUAUCAUUGUUCAAAUACAGGACAAAGAUCUCUUUCUUCUCCAGUGGCUGACCAGAUUACAGGUCAGCCUUCGUCUCAGUUACAACCUAUUACAUAUGGUCCUUCACAUUCAGGGUCUGCUACAACAGCUUCCCCAGCAGCUUCUCAUCCCUUGGCUAGUUCACCGCUUUCUGGGCCACCAUCUCCUCAGCUUCAGCCUAUGCCUUACCAAUCUCCUAGCUCAGGAACUGCCUCAUCACCGUCUCCAGCCACCAGAAUGCAUUCUGGACAGCACUCAACUCAAGCACAAAGUACGGGCCAGGGGGGUCUUUCUGCACCUUCAUCCUUAAUAUGUCACAGUUUGUGUGAUCCAGCUUCAUUUCCACCUGAUGGGGCAACUGUGAGCAUUAAACCUGAACCAGAAGAUCGAGAGCCUAACUUUGCAACCAUUGGUCUGCAGGACAUCACUUUAGAUGAUGACCAAUUUAUAUCUGACUUGGAACACCAGCCAUCAGGUUCAGCAGAGAAAUGGCCUAACCACAGUGUGCUCUCAUGUCCAGCUCCUUUCUGGAGAAUCUAGAGGUGAACGAGAUAAUUGGGAGAGACAUGUCCCAGAUUUCUGUUUCCCAAGGAGCAGGGGUGAGCAGGCAGGCUCCCCUCCCAAGUCCUGAGUCCCUGGAUUUAGGAAGAUCUGAUGGGCUCUAACAGUGCUUACUGCAGCCUUGUGUCCACCACCAACUUCUCAGCAUGUUUCUCUCCUUGGACCUUGGGUUUCCAACUGUGCAGCCUUCAGGUCUGGGGCCAGGAGUGGGACCCACCAUUUGUGGGGAAAGUAGCAUUCCUCCACCUCAGGCCUUGGGUAAAUUUGGCAAAAGAACAGGAACAGCAUAGGCUGUUUGAGUUUUGGGGAAAUGAGCUUUGCUUUUUAUAUUUAACUAGGAUACUUUUAUAUGAUGGGUGCUUUGAGUGUGAAUGCAGCAGGCUCUCUUGUUUCCGAGGUGCUGCUUUUGCAGGUGACCUGGUUACUUAGCUAGGAUUGGUGAUUUGUACUGCUUUAUGGUCAUUUGAAGGGCCCUUUAGUUUUUAUGAUAAUUUUUAAAAUAGGAACUUUUGAUAAGACCUUCUAGAAGCAAAAAAAAAGAAAAAAGAAAAAGAAAAAGAAAAAAAAAAG
Molecule: small RNA, 4197 nt
Filed under: Pan troglodytes (chimpanzee)
Lineage: Eukaryota; Metazoa; Chordata; Mammalia; Primates; Hominidae
Description: processed transcript
Source: RNAcentral